UACGGAGGGAGCUAGCGUUGUUCGGAAUUACUGGGCGUAAAGCGCGCGUAGGCGGCUUUGUAAGUUAGAGGUGAAGGCCCGGGGCUCAACCCCGGAAUUGCCUUUAAGACUGCAUCGCUUGAAUCCGGGAGAGGUGAGUGGAAUUCCGAGUGUAGAGGUGAAAUUCGUAGAUAUUCGGAAGAACACCAGUGGCGAAGGCGGCUCACUGGACCGGCAUUGACGCUGAGGUGCGAAAGCGUGGGGAGCAAACAGG
Molecule: ribosomal RNA, 253 nt
Filed under: uncultured bacterium
Lineage: Bacteria
Description: partial 16S ribosomal RNA
Rfam family: Bacterial small subunit ribosomal RNA
Source: RNAcentral